Molecule: long non-coding RNA, 3145 nt
Organism: Anopheles gambiae (African malaria mosquito)
Lineage: Eukaryota; Metazoa; Arthropoda; Insecta; Diptera; Culicidae
Exons: 2
Source: RefSeq, a predicted model, not a curated record
UUAGGUAUUGGGUUUUUUUAGGUUUACAGGAAUACCUACAGACAGACCUGUAACAAACACCGUUCUUACGAUGAUCACGAGGUAAUCAUCCAGCAAAGUGUCACUUUAGUUCUAAAUUAAUUAGUGACUAAGGUAACUUACUUAAACAGCUGCAAUCAAAACUAUCAGAUAGCGAUUAGAUUGAAUAGCAGUUGGAAAUAUUUUUAAAUUUAUAUUUAAAUACUUUAAAGAAUGGACGAUUAAAGUUGAUAAUUUAUACAUCUCUUAAUUUUAAUAAGCAUGCAAACGAACAAGUAAUGUCUAUCAUCAGCAUUUGUCUUUAAUAUAGUGAAAGACCCGCUCCCUCUUUCUCUAUCUACAUAAACCGGUUGUGUCCAAUCAACCACAAAAUAUUGUUUCCUCAGGCCCCACAGGUAGCGAAGCGUGCAACGAAUUGCAACGCAGAGAGCCCUUGUUUACAAUCCCAAUGAUCUGAUUACUAGACGGUUGGACAAUUUACUCACUGCUCCCCGGUUUCGUCAGAGGUUAAUUGGUACAAACGUUGUCGCAGUACGGCACGUACACACGAUGCUGCAGGAAAACGACAUUCAAUGUCAUAACAGAACGUAAAUUAGUGCAGACCGUUUAGUUUUAUUCGAGGAAUUUACAUACGAGUUGUGAUAAAAAUAAAUUCUACCUCAGUUAGCACCUACCUAGCAAAUACAUGAAAAACAUAGAUCAAAAUAAUCUGCAAGAAACAAUCCAGUGCUGAUGAUGAUUCCCGAGGCGAACAAAAGUGCGAUGGAAUCAACAAACACAUAUUCCCACAUAUGCACAGCGAUGGUCUAAUUACAGUCUUCUUUCAACACCGGUACUGCGCGGUGUGUUUUGACUCACAACCACCAGAAACGUAUACCAUGGAUAGGAUAGGAUAAACGCGAUCGGAAAUAACGUUCUACGUCAGCGGGGUCAGCGCAAAUCACUUCAUCGAGGAAGCAUACUGGCGAAGAAAACCUGCUUGUUCUUACGGUUGUGCGGGGUAAAGAUGUUACUACAAUAUAUUCCGCUAUGUAUAAUCCUUAAGCGCCUCAUAGUGUACCAUUAAUAUUUUUUUCAAAACCUCAAAAGUAUUUAUACUAAACAGUUGCAUUUUCAAUGUAAAUUCAUAAAAUCGAUAAAUAGAUUAAAUUAAGGGGCGAUUCCGUGGUACGGUCGUCAACUCGUACGACUGAAUAACAUGCCAGUCAUUGGUUCAAUCCUAGAAAGGACCGUCUAUCCGUAGCAAGGACUGACUAUCUAGCUGCGUUGCAAUGAAUUAAGUCUCGAAAGCCUCUGUAUAGGCCGGCAUGUCCGCGUAGGACGUUACGCCAAAUACAAGAUUAAGAUUAAAUCGAUUUCAUCAUCAUAUGUGAAUACAGCGAUUUGGGUUUCAUCUGCCAAUAGUAGAUGCAAUGACGCUUUUACCGGACAGGACGCAAAUCGUGUUUGGCAUCUGGACUAUCAUACGGUAGGACAGACUCAUGAUCCAGAUCUACUUCGUUAGCUUGUGUGAAAAGACGGCGAAUUGUAUCUCGUAAUCCCUCUACGGCAACUACUUUCAACGACCGUAUCUGUAUCGAAGCUUCGUUUUACUAAAGUAGUGAAUAUUUUGACAAGUUUUACGCAACUGAAACAAAACGAGACUUACCGGGAAACUUUCGAAUCGCGUACAGCACAAACAUGGACGUUAAGUAUUCGUUGUAUCCUUCCCACAAACCAUCACUAGCUAAUAUAAGCAAAAGAUCAUCUUCCGUGCACUGAUUUAACGAUACUGCCGGGUUUGCCGUCACGUAGGGUUUGUAGAAACGGUUGCCUAAAAAUUAAAAACAAAAAUCAACAAUUAAGCACUGGCAAUCUCAAGUUAACCAAAACAAUGGAUUGGAACUUACCAAUCGCUCGGGUAAUGGCCAGCUGUCCACUAACACGAAACUGACCAUUCCAGGGAAUUACGCAUCCUCCCUCCCGAUCAAUACGUUCCCGCUCGUCCUGUAACGCAAAUACGGAAAGGUUAAUGAUCAAUUACCAAUUCUGAUUAUACUGAACAUCGCACACUUACCGGAUCGGACGCUACAUGGGUAGGAUGGACGAUCGGCUUGUAAACCCCUUCGCCCGGAUUUCGUCUCACGAGAAUGGCUUGGGAAUCGCCAACCCAAGCUACAUCGAUCCGCUGCGAACGCGUAUGAUGUACACAGGCAACGGCCGUCGAUCCACUGUUCAGGUGCUGCAAGGGGACGAGAAAAAACGACAUUAAAAAAUCGCUCUCUACCUUACACAAACCCUGCCCCGUGUAUCGUCCCGCAUACAUACAUGGUUUUCACACUUUUCCAAAAACAAUUGAUCAGUCUUGAGGAACCCAUCCCGGAACGCUUGCUCCAUGUCGUGCGGAUAGUGUUCGCUCUGGGCAAUGUAGUAGUGCAGGUAGGAGGCCGCAAAGCUGGCCGCCUCCUGGCCACCGUGCCCAUCGUACACACCGUAGAAGGCGGUCGGUUCCGUGUCCUUCGUGCGGAACAGCGUGUUAAAGUCGGGCAGACACACGUGCCGGUCCUCCAUCGUGCGCCGGCGAUGCUUUAGUCCUCGCGAAAAGUGUACCUUUGGCACGGGGGCGAUGGCGCCCCCGCCAGCCGCUCCGUCCGGCUGAUCCGUGCCCAGCUGGGCGAGCAGAUUGUUCAGCUUCGCAUUGUCCAGCAGUCCGAGGCAGGUUUGAUUUACGCGUAAAAUCACUUCAUGGUUCAGCUGGAGCGUGUUAUACUCUGCAGGCAAACAAAAAGGCAAACAAAAAUUGAACUGUUAAAAAUACGUACAAGCAACGUGUGUGUGUGGCUGUUAAUAAAAUCCAACAGCUCUGCCCUAGUUUGCAGAGCUCGGCCCGUUACUUUAUGACGAACCGGCACCUGUACACAUCGGGCAGCGAAGCAACGGGCGUACCGUUACCACACCACCCUCCUCGUCCCCCUCCCGACACCAUACUUACCCUGACCGUUUAACCCGCAAGAUUUGGGAUUUUCUUUGCAAUUGCUCAGCACCUCUUCCAAAACUGUGCGUAUUAUUAGCGGCAAGAUGCACUGCGGACAACCACUGCGGGACGGGGAAACAGAAGCAAAAGAAGAAGAAAAAUAUUGUAAACAAA